AACGAACGCUGGCGGCAUGCCUAACACAUGCAAGUCGAACGAGACCUUCGGGUCUAGUGGCGCACGGGUGCGUAACGCGUGGGAAACUGCCCUUAGGUUCGGAAUAACACCCCGAAAGGGGUGCUAAUACCGGAUAAUGUCUUCGGACCAAAGAUUUAUCGCCUUUGGAUGGGCCCGCGUUGGUUUAGCUUGUUGUUAGGGUAAAAGCCUACCAAGGCGAGGAUCCAUAGCUGGUCUGAGAGGAGGAUCAGCCACACUGGGACUGAGACACGGCCCAGACUCCUACGGGAGGCAGCAGUGAGGAAUAUUGGACAAUGGGCGAAGGCCUGAUCCAGCAAGGCCGCGUGAGUGAUGAAGGCCUUAGGGUUGUAAAGCGCUUUUACCCGGGAUGAUAAUGACAGUACCGGGAGAAUAAGCUCCGGCUAACUCCGUG
Molecule: ribosomal RNA, 433 nt
Filed under: uncultured bacterium
Lineage: Bacteria
Description: partial 16S ribosomal RNA
Rfam family: Bacterial small subunit ribosomal RNA
Source: RNAcentral